UACGUAGGGACCAAGCGUUGUUCGGAUUUACUGGGCGUAAAGGGCGCGUAGGCGGCGUGGUAAGUCACUUGUGAAAUCUCUGAGCUUAACUCAGAACGGCCAAGUGAUACUGCUGUGCUAGAGUGCAGAAGGGGCAAUCGGAAUUCUUGGUGUAGCGGUGAAAUGCGUAGAUAUCAGGAGGAACACCGGUGGCGAAGGCGGGUCUCUGGGCCGAUACUGACGCUGAGGAGCGAAAGCGUGGGGAGCGAACAGG
Molecule: ribosomal RNA, 253 nt
Filed under: uncultured bacterium
Lineage: Bacteria
Description: partial 16S ribosomal RNA
Rfam family: Bacterial small subunit ribosomal RNA
Source: RNAcentral